CCUACGGGAGGCAGCAGUGGGGAAUAUUUGACAAUGGGGGCAACCCUGAUCCAGCCAUGCCGCGUGUGUGAAGAAGGCCCUCGGGUUGUAAAGCACUUUCAGUGAGGAAGAACGCCUGGUGGUUAAUACCCAUCAGGAAAGACAUCACUCACAGAAGAAGCACCGGCUAACUCCGUGCCAGCAGCCGCGGUAAUACGGAGGGUGCGAGCGUUAAUCGGAAUUACUGGGCGUAAAGCGCGCGUAGGUGGCUUGAUAAGCCGGUUGUGAAAGCCCCGGGCUCAACCUGGGAACGGCAUCCGGAACUGUCAAGCUAGAGUGCAGGAGAGGAAGGUAGAAUUCCCGGUGUAGCGGUGAAAUGCGUAGAGAUCGGGAGGAAUACCAGUGGCGAAGGCGGCCUUCUGGACUGACACUGACACUGAGGUGCGAAAGCGUGGGUAGCAAACAGGAUUAGAUACCCUAGUAGUC
RNAcentral lists this ribosomal RNA (465 nucleotides) under Vreelandella stevensii. RNAcentral's name for it is "partial 16S ribosomal RNA". It matches the Rfam family "Bacterial small subunit ribosomal RNA", at positions 338 to 795 of the family's 1533-position model. Lineage: Bacteria; Pseudomonadati; Pseudomonadota; Gammaproteobacteria; Oceanospirillales; Halomonadaceae. The record is from RNAcentral.